CCUACGGGGGGCUGCAGUCGAGGAUCUUCGGCAAUGGGCGCAAGCCUGACCGAGCGACGCCGCGUGGAGGAGGAAGGCCCUCGGGUUGUAAACUCCUGUCGAGGGGAAGAAAAGCCUUAAGGCCUGAUCGACCCCUGGAGGAAGCACGGGCUAAGUUCGUGCCAGCAGCCGCGGUAAGACGAACCGUGCGAACGUUGUUCGGAUUCACUGGGCGUAAAGGGCGCGUAGGCGGGUCGGCGAGUCAGGGGUGAAAGCCUCCAGCCCAACUGGAGAACGGCCCUUGAGACCGCCGGCCUCGAGGGGGGUAGGGGCACGCGGAACUUCCGGUGGAGCGGUGAAAUGCGUAGAGAUCGGAAGGAACGCCGGUGGCGAAAGCGGCGUGCUGGGCCCCUUCUGACGCUGAGGCGCGAAAGCCAGGGGAGCAAACGGGAUUAGAUACC
This 440-nucleotide ribosomal RNA is filed under the name uncultured bacterium. RNAcentral describes it as "bacterial SSU rRNA". It matches the Rfam family "Bacterial small subunit ribosomal RNA", at positions 338 to 786 of the family's 1533-position model. The record is from RNAcentral.